Long non-coding RNA from Carassius auratus (goldfish), 547 nucleotides. RefSeq lists it as uncharacterized. The transcript has 3 exons. The record is from RefSeq and is a predicted model, not a curated record. Lineage: Eukaryota; Metazoa; Chordata; Actinopteri; Cypriniformes; Cyprinidae.
AUACACUGUGUUUAUGACAAUGAAACCUUGGUAAACGCCAUUCUGUCGUGUUUCUUGAAGUCAAGUUCAUUUUUUUUCAGACAUUAACGGACCAGCCUCUGAGCGGAUCUCAAACGGUUGAAGAAAAUGAUUGACGGGCUUGUUUUGUUCUGUUUAUUUUUUUCUCCUCUGAUCGGCGCUGAGCCGCAUGAGAUCGUGUCAGCGAUGGAGGGAGAGUCGUUCACUCUCCGAACUGGUUUCACUGAAAGACAGGGCGAUCAAGACAUCGAGUGGAGGUUUGGAUCGAGCAGGACUUUGUUAACCAGAAUAAAGUCAGGAAACAUCAUUACAUUCAGUCACACGGUAUUCAGAGACAGACUGCAGCUCGACAGACAGACUGGAGAUCUCACCAUCACAAACAUCGAUAAUGAACACACUGGAGUUUAUGAACUAAGUAUCGAUCUCGGACAGACAGAGUUGCAAAAAAUAUUCAUUGUCACUGUUUAUGCUCCUGUGCCUGUUCCUGUCAUCACCAGAUAUUCUCCUCAGUGUUCAUCAUCAUCAUCAU